RNAcentral lists this ribosomal RNA (494 nucleotides) under uncultured bacterium. RNAcentral describes it as "bacterial SSU rRNA". It matches the Rfam family "Bacterial small subunit ribosomal RNA", at positions 34 to 507 of the family's 1533-position model. The record is from RNAcentral.
CGCUGGCGGCGUGCCUAAUACAUGCAAGUCGAGCGGAAUGAUGAAGAAGCUUGCUUCUUCUGAUUUUAGCGGCGGACGGGUGAGUAACAUGUGGGCAACCUACCUUGUAGAUUGGGAUAACUCCGGGAAACCGGGGCUAAUACCGAAUAAUCCAUUUUGCUUCAUGGCGAGAUGUUGAAAGACGGUUUCGGCUGUCACUACAAGAUGGGCCCGCGGCGCAUUAGCUAGUUGGUAGGGUAAUGGCCUACCAAGGCGACGAUGCGUAGCCGACCUGAGAGGGUGAUCGGCCACACUGGGACUGAGACACGGCCCAGACUCCUACGGGAGGCAGCAGUAGGGAAUCUUCCACAAUGGACGAAAGUCUGAUGGAGCAACGCCGCGUGAGUGAAGAAGGUUUUCGGAUCGUAAAACUCUGUUGUAAGGGAAGAACACGUACGAGAGUAACUGCUCGUACCUUGACGGUACCUUAUUAGAAAGCCACGGCUAACUACGUG